Molecule: ribosomal RNA, 569 nt
Filed under: uncultured bacterium
Lineage: Bacteria
Description: partial 16S ribosomal RNA
Rfam family: Bacterial small subunit ribosomal RNA
Source: RNAcentral
UGGGGAAUAUUGCACAAUGGGCGCAAGCCUGAUGCAGCCAUGCCGCGUGUGUGAAGAAGGCCUUCGGGUUGUAAAGCACUUUCAGCGAGGAGGAAGGUGGUGAGCUUAAUACGCUCAUCAAUUGACGUUACUCGCAGAAGAAGCACCGGCUAACUCCGUGCCAGCAGCCGCGGUAAUACGGAGGGUGCAAGCGUUAAUCGGAAUUACUGGGCGUAAAGCGCACGCAGGCGGUUUGUUAAGUCAGAUGUGAAAUCCCCGGGCUCAACCUGGGAACUGCAUUUGAAACUGGCAAGCUAGAGUCUCGUAGAGGGGGGUAGAAUUCCAGGUGUAGCGGUGAAAUGCGUAGAGAUCUGGAGGAAUACCGGUGGCGAAGGCGGCCCCCUGGACGAAGACUGACGCUCAGGUGCGAAAGCGUGGGGCAGCAAACAGGAUUAGAUACCCUGGUAGUCCACGCUGUAAAACGAUGUCGAUUUUGGAGGUUGUGCCCCUUGAGGCGUGGCUUCCGGAGCUAACGCGUUAAAUCGACCGCCUGGGGAGUACUGCCGCAAGGUUAAAACUCAAAUGAAUUG